UACGUAGGGUGCGAGCGUUAAUCGGAAUUACUGGGCGUAAAGCGCGCGCAGGCGGCCUCGCGCGCCCGACGUGAAAGCCCCCGGCUUAACCGGGGAGGGUCGUUGGGGACGGCGGGGCUUGAGGGCGGGAGAGGUCGGUGGAAUUCCCGGUGUAGUGGUGAAAUGCGUAGAGAUCGGGAGGAACACCAAUGGCGAAGGCAGCUUGCUGGGACGGUACUGACGCUGAGGCGCGAAAGCGUGGGGAGCAGACGAGG
RNAcentral lists this ribosomal RNA (254 nucleotides) under uncultured bacterium. RNAcentral describes it as "partial 16S ribosomal RNA". It matches the Rfam family "Bacterial small subunit ribosomal RNA", at positions 524 to 777 of the family's 1533-position model. The record is from RNAcentral.